RNAcentral lists this unclassified non-coding RNA (2264 nucleotides) under Hevea brasiliensis (rubber tree). Lineage: Eukaryota; Viridiplantae; Streptophyta; Magnoliopsida; Malpighiales; Euphorbiaceae. The record is from RNAcentral.
AAGGCCGAGGCUAAGGUCGAGGUCGCCAGGGUUUUAAGUUUGUGGGUUUAAGGAUUUAAGCCCUAAAACACAAAAUCAUUGAAAUUUUGAGUUUCAAAAAAAUGGCUAAUUCAAUUGCUGCUCUCUCACGCAGGCUCUCUCGUUCCCUUCUAUCUAACUCAAACUUCUCUCAGAUUUCCAUGCCCUUUUGCACUGACAACCUAUCCUCUCGCGACGACUAUAACUCUGAAGACUCCGAUCUGAACUCCGCCGCGGAUUCUGUGCCCAACUCAACCUCGCAGUCAUCAUUAUUCUCCUCAUCAACAUCUGAACCAACAGCAGCUUCGCCAGCUUCGACUGAUGAUCGAGUGGUCUAUCAACAGCGGCUCGAGGAUGGCCUCGAUGUUGGCAUUUACAGGGUGCUGCCAAAAUCCCUCCCGUGUUUGGCAAAAUAAAAAAAUUGUGUUUAUUUGUUAUUUAUAGCAUUUUAAGUUUCAUUAUUCUUUCUUUAUUUUUAUUGGUGGGUUUGUGAAGUUCUUGGAACGAAUAUCUUUUGCUGUUUGUGUGGGUUGAUGGUAUGUAAGUGUAAAUAUGUAAUUAUGAUGAUUUUUAGUGCCUCAAACGUGCUAAAGAUUAAUCUCUACAACUGACACUUUUAGGGUUUUUGAUUUGUGGCUUCUGUGUGUGAGUUUUAGGCAAUAUUGGUGGGGCAGGUUGGGAGGAGUCCAUGGCAGAAGAAGUUGAGGAAUGGGAGGACUGUGACAAUGUUCUCCCUGGGGACAGGUGGUAUUCGCAAUAAUAGGAGGCCAUUACAGAAUGAGGAGCCAGGAGAGUAUGAAAAUCGGUCUUCUGUUCAGUGGCACCGGGUUGCAGUUUACCAAGAAAGGUUGGGGAGUCUUUUUAUGAAGAGUAUUUUACCAGGUUCAAUUAUUUAUCUGGAGGGAAGUCUGGAGUCCAGGCUGUUCACUGAUCCGAUCACUGGUCUUGUUCGUCGCAUAAGAGAGGUUGCUAUUCGUCAACAUGGUAUGUUCAUUCUUUAUGUGUUUUGUUGCUGUUUACCAUUGUUACCGUGAGGAAUUGGGACUUCAAUGAUGGCUUCAUAUUUUGAAAACAAAGAUAUUUAACACUGAGAUGGACGUGCCACUUUCUUUUAUAUGCAUGUCAUAAAUUUUAUACAUACCACACCUGAAAAAAAAAAAAAAUCAGAUGUUUAUCAUAAUAUUGUGAAAGAUAGCAGUGAUUUAAUGUUUUGAUGGAAUCAUGCUUUAGGCUAUAAUUCUCUUUUCUGCCACUCUACUUGCAUUAAUUAAGGCUUAAGCUCCCCUAUGCAUUAUUUAUGAGUCUUGAGAACAGUACUGUUAUUCUUUCAAAUGACUUAUUUGACAUGUUUUUUAGUUUUAACUCUACAAGACAAUUUGGCAUUUAGCUGUGUAUUCUGGCUGUUUGGUGGCCUUGGAAUCUGUUACUUUUGUGCUUGGAAUUUUGAAAUAGAUAAUUUUGGAGUCAACGUUAGGAACCGGUUGAUCUCAGCUUCACCACACAAUUCUUAAAUACAGACAGCUUUAGCUCUAUGUGUGUAUACAUGUGCAUGCACAGAGAGAUAUACGUCAAGUCAAAGUGAUAAAUGCUUAUUGAAAAUACAUUGUAGUUCGCCUUGCAUGAUAAAAAGCAGAGGACAUGAAACUUCAUAAAGGUUGUGAAUUUGUUGUUUGGCAGUGUCAGCGUCAGAAGCAAGUAACUGCAUAGGUUUGCUUCUUUCAUUUGUCACUUAAUGGCAUGGUUUUUAGGAAUAUUACAAUCAAGAUGAAGAUGAGAUUGUAACUUUCAAAUUCUACGUACUUAAAAGUUCAAAUCAAGUUCCACUUGGAUUGUUUCUUGACCAACAUGCUUUCAUACUUCAGUUCAGUUAAGUGCUAGCUACUACAGCAUUAACUACUAGAUUUAACAUUGUUAUGUGGACUUUUUGCCAGGUCGGCUUGUGUUUUUGGGAAAAGGGGGUGAUGACCAGCAAGCAAGUGCAAAUGAAUUGAAAAAUGUAGGCUAUCACUAGGAGCAUAACUCAUAACAAUUUGUGUAUUCAUGUAACCUAAUUUUGCUUUGAAUUUGCUUCAAGCUAGUAAUGAUUAUGAUUUAUGGAGGCAGAAAGCCUUGCCGGUUGCCUUUUUUUGUUUACUUUUUCAUGGCUUUUUAAUUCAACAUGAUUUGUUUAUGGAAAUAGGAAGCCCUCUUUUCUGUUUUCUCUUCCUUUUCCUAAUUUUCCAUAAGAAAAUAUGUUCAUUUCCCUA